AUUGAACUUAAAAAACGUUUUCUGGACUUUGAAGGUUCGGAACGCAGAGAAAUUUCGGGUUCGAUUCCCGGAGCAAUA
RNAcentral lists this transfer RNA (78 nucleotides) under Flavobacterium collinsii. RNAcentral describes it as "tRNA-Ser". The record is from RNAcentral. Lineage: Bacteria; Pseudomonadati; Bacteroidota; Flavobacteriia; Flavobacteriales; Flavobacteriaceae.